Macadamia integrifolia is the source of this 683-nucleotide long non-coding RNA. RefSeq lists it as uncharacterized. The transcript is spliced from 3 exons. NCBI's taxonomy places the organism in Eukaryota, Viridiplantae, Streptophyta, Magnoliopsida, Proteales, Proteaceae. The record is from RefSeq and is a predicted model, not a curated record.
AGACAAGUUAUAAAACCCUAGAGGAGUUGCAGAAGAGGAUUGAAUGGUUUGUUGGUAUUGUCUGAUAGCGGAGAAGAAAAGAGACAAGGGUUGAGUUUAUUGGCAGAUAUGCUCGGGAGCAAUUGAUGGCGAAAUACUCCACACUAUUGGACGAAAUGCGUUUGAAAUACCUUUCACAUUCCCUCCUCAAUCAUUAUUCGUGUGCUUCACUGCCAAGAGUAUCCUCCCCAUUUUUAUAUAUAAAGAAAAAAUUUUGGAUGGAGUGAGGAGAUGUAGUCUUCACUUUCCUUAUUCUUUAUGGAAAGCCUCGUGGGAAGCUAUGGAUCGGGAGAAUCAAAUGACUCACGUAUCACACUUGUGCAAGGCGUGUAGGAUUCGCAGGUUCGAGUAGUCAUAGGAAAAUGACUAUAUCUCUCUCAAUACAGGUCGGAAUGAUGUGAUUUCAAAGCUUAUAGAACAAGGACUCAUAGAUCUACAAUUUUUGUGACAAACGUUUUCUCAGAAAAUGUUUUUAGUACACCAGAAAUCUAUCAUGAAUUUGAUGCACGAAUCUGAAAAUUGAAAGUAAGGAAGGGUAUAGCUCUUCUAGGCUAUGGAAUGACUCUUCAAUGUCAUAUGGAUGAGAAACUCUUUAAGGUUUCUAAAUGACUUAAUAAUAAGCAAAUCUUUACUAAACUUCUUCA